Molecule: ribosomal RNA, 396 nt
Filed under: uncultured bacterium
Lineage: Bacteria
Description: bacterial SSU rRNA
Rfam family: Bacterial small subunit ribosomal RNA
Source: RNAcentral
GACGAACGCUGGCGGCGUGCUUAAUACAUGCAAGUGGAGCGACGAACCAGGCUUCGGCCUGGGGCAGAGCCGCGAACGGGUGAGUAACACGUGGGUAACCUGCCUCGAUGACCGGGACAACCCGGGGAAACCCGGCUAAUACCGGAUGUGCUGUCCCCACAUCAGUGGAGACAGGAAAGGAAGCUUCGGCCUCCGCAUCGAGAUGGGCCCGCGGCCCAUUAGCUUGUUGGUGUGGAACGGCUCACCAAGGCUGCGAUGGGUAGCUGGUCUGAGAGGACGAUCAGCCACACUGGGACUGAGACACGGCCCAGACUCCUACGGAGGCAGCAGUAGGGAAUCUUGCGCAAUGCGCGAAAGCGUGACGCAGCAACGCCGCGUGGGGGAAGAAGGCCUCGG